CAGAUAGAGGCGCGGGCUUCAUCAGUAGCCCCCGGCAUGGUCAGGCAGCCGCCGGGGAGGAAAGGGGAGACUGCCGAAGGAGAGUUUCGCUGCCUGGCGAAAUUCUGCUGGGCCGGGGGAGAAGAUCCUUCGGACUGUCACAGACGUUGUGAAGCGCUAUCGA
RNAcentral lists this non-coding RNA (163 nucleotides) under chicken gut metagenome. RNAcentral describes it as "Lysine riboswitch". It matches the Rfam family "Lysine riboswitch aptamer". From Rfam's summary of the family: Riboswitches are metabolite binding domains within certain messenger RNAs that serve as precision sensors for their corresponding targets. The record is from RNAcentral.